CCUACGGGCGGCUGCAGUAACGAAUCUUCCCCAAUGCGCGAAAGCGUGAGGGAGCGACGCCGCGUGGAGGACGAAGUCCUUCGGGAUGUAAACUCCUGUCAGGGGCAACCAAGUUCUGAGGUGCCCCAGAGGAAGAGGCGGCUAACUCUGUGCCAGCAGCCGCGGUAAUACAGAGGCCUCGAGCGUUAGGCGGAAUCACUGGGCUUAAAGCGCGUGUAGGCGGAUCGUUAAGUGUCUUGUGAAAUCCCACGGCUCAACCGUGGAACUGCUGGGCA
This 275-nucleotide ribosomal RNA is filed under the name uncultured bacterium. Its description in RNAcentral is "partial 16S ribosomal RNA". It matches the Rfam family "Bacterial small subunit ribosomal RNA", at positions 338 to 630 of the family's 1533-position model. The record is from RNAcentral.